GAGAAAAGUCAUUUUGCAAGAACACAUCCAAUCUCAUUUGAUUUCUGAAGCUAAGCAGGUUCAGGCCUACUUAGUAUGUGGAUGGGAGAAAAGUCACUUUGCAUUUCUCU
RNAcentral lists this ribosomal RNA (110 nucleotides) under Chinchilla lanigera (long-tailed chinchilla). The record is from RNAcentral. Lineage: Eukaryota; Metazoa; Chordata; Mammalia; Rodentia; Chinchillidae.